GCUCCACCGCCCCCCGGGGGCGCCCGCGAUGUUCCCUGGCCGCCUUGCGCUCGGCCUGCUUUUGUGCUAAGGGCUGUAAAAUCAAGCCGGUUGCGUCCUCUGCGUUAGGCGGUGGGGAGAGGAGCCGGCCCUCUGCAGGCCGCGGCAGCCUGGCGGGCGGGGAGGUGCUUCGCAGCGGGCCUGGCGUGCUCCCUCGGUAAACUCCCCUGAGGAAAAGGACGCUGAAGGUGUCGGAAAAGCAAACAGGUUCUGUGUUUUAAAGGACUAGGUACCGUAUCUCAUCAGGAUCUGAGAGGAACACGCUUGGGAAGCCCAUCUCUUAUUCAUGACUAUUCUGGUCUUCAUUCCUGCAUUUAUCGCGGUCUCUGAGGAGCCGCAGGAAGAGGCGGCAGGGUGAGAGCAGCAGGUGUGGGGAAACACCUGUGCAGCCGCGCUGCGAGGGCAUGUGAGCCAGCGCUUUGCAAGUCCAGAAAGAAUAGAAAACAGAGCAAAAAUGGCAUCUGUACUGUGCAUGUGCUUAAGAAUGAUCCAGUUCUAAUGACUCAGCUUAGACGUUUUGGGAAGAUGAGUUCCCGGCUGUGCUGUUGUAACCUG
This 594-nucleotide long non-coding RNA is filed under the name Falco tinnunculus (common kestrel). RNAcentral's name for it is "lncRNA (ENSFTIG00000013435.1)". The record is from RNAcentral. Lineage: Eukaryota; Metazoa; Chordata; Aves; Falconiformes; Falconidae.